GAUAAACGCUGGCGGCGUGCCUAACACAUGCAAGUCGAACGCCCUUUGUCUCGCAAGAGAGGAAGGGAGUGGCGGACGGGUGAGUAACACAUGGGUGACCUCCCCCCAGUGAGGGAUACCGGCGAGAAAUUGCCGACAAGCCCGCAUAGGGUCUUGCUGGUAGAGCAGCAAGAGCAAAGGUGCUUUUUCGCAAGAGGAAGUGCCGCUGAGGGAUGGGCCUGUGGCCGAUUAGCUAGUUGGUGAGGUAAGAGCUUACCAAGGCGUCGAUCG
This 270-nucleotide ribosomal RNA is filed under the name uncultured bacterium. Its description in RNAcentral is "partial 16S ribosomal RNA". It matches the Rfam family "Bacterial small subunit ribosomal RNA", at positions 28 to 282 of the family's 1533-position model. The record is from RNAcentral.